AUUUUCAUUUGUUGUCAAAAUAAUAUAUCUAUUUUCAUUUGUUGUCAAAAUAAUGUAUCACCUCUGCAGGGAUUGAUAGAGAGGUGUUUAAUUUAUGCAUAAAUGUUGCGUUUAGUUUGGGAAGAAAUGAAAAUANNNNCCCAUAUUAUUAAUUCGAUUGUUUCUAUAUAUUAUUAUGUUCUUUGCUUAAAAAAAUAGAG
This 200-nucleotide unclassified non-coding RNA is filed under the name Hevea brasiliensis (rubber tree). The record is from RNAcentral. Lineage: Eukaryota; Viridiplantae; Streptophyta; Magnoliopsida; Malpighiales; Euphorbiaceae.